CAAAAACAUCUCCCCCAGGCUUAAAUGUUGGAUUGGGGGUAGGCCCUGCCCGGUGAUUUAUUUUUUAACGGCGGUGUUAAGCCUUAAAGUAGCGUAGUAAUUCGUCCUUUAAUUGAGGUCUAGUAUGAAUGGGUUGACGUGGAUAGGCUGUCUCGAAGGGAGUGUCGUAAAUUUUCUUCUUAGUGAAAAGUCUGAGAUUUAUUUAAAAGACGAGAAGACCCCGUCGAGCUUGAUUAAUGUGAUAAGGGUUUGUUAUAUGAAGGUUUGUUGGGGCAAUAAGGGAGAAAGUGAACCUCCUUUUCUUUCUAUGUGGAUCCCCUUUUUGGGAAAGAAGAAAAAGCUACCGCGGGGAUAACAGCGCAAGACUGCCUGAUAGGUCAUAUUGAAGGCUGUAUUUGCGACCUCGAUGUUGGAUUAGGGUAUACAACUGGGCGUAGAAGCUUAGUGAGGUGGGACUGUUCGUCCUUUAAACCCCUACAUGAUCUGAG
Molecule: ribosomal RNA, 488 nt
Filed under: Dallocardia senticosa
Lineage: Eukaryota; Metazoa; Mollusca; Bivalvia; Cardiida; Cardiidae
Description: partial 16S ribosomal RNA
Rfam family: Bacterial large subunit ribosomal RNA
Source: RNAcentral